UUGACCGGGAUGCAAGAACCUUGCCUCGUCAAACCUGGAUCGACUUCUGCGCCAUAUUAGCCUCCGUCCUUCACCGCGAUUCACCUCAAGAACCUGCAAAAGACAGAACGGCGCCGCUGCGGCCGAUCACGCUCCGACGCCCAAGUCAGCGACUGAACCACCAAAUACUAAGAGAAAACUCAAGACCUCUAAGUAACCGUGCAAAAUUCUCUCUCAGCGUACUCAAGACUCGCAAGCGUAAAGAAACAAUCUAAA
This 255-nucleotide long non-coding RNA is filed under the name Phaseolus vulgaris (common bean). Its description in RNAcentral is "long non-coding RNA (PVUL_LNC003439)". The record is from RNAcentral. Lineage: Eukaryota; Viridiplantae; Streptophyta; Magnoliopsida; Fabales; Fabaceae.